UACGAAGGGGGCUAGCGUUGCUCGGAAUCACUGGGCGUAAAGGGUGCGUAGGCGGGUCUUUAAGUCAGGGGUGAAAUCCUGGAGCUCAACUCCAGAACUGCCUUUGAUACUGAGGAUCUUGAGUUCGGGAGAGGUGAGUGGAACUGCGAGUGUAGAGGUGAAAUUCGUAGAUAUUCGCAAGAACACCAGUGGCGAAGGCGGCUCACUGGCCCGAUAUUGACGCUGAGGCACGAAAGCGUGGAGAGCAAACAGG
This 253-nucleotide ribosomal RNA is filed under the name uncultured bacterium. Its description in RNAcentral is "partial 16S ribosomal RNA". It matches the Rfam family "Bacterial small subunit ribosomal RNA", at positions 524 to 776 of the family's 1533-position model. The record is from RNAcentral.